Molecule: non-coding RNA, 99 nt
Organism: Gossypium hirsutum (cotton)
Lineage: Eukaryota; Viridiplantae; Streptophyta; Magnoliopsida; Malvales; Malvaceae
Source: Rfam
AGAGGAGGGAUCCAAAGGGAUCGCAUUGAUCCUUUAUUUUUAUUUUUAAAAAAAUUUUACCCUAAUUUUGGAUCAUGCUAUCCCUUUGGAUUCCUCCUU